UGGAAAGUUAAAAAACGUAACAAGGUUUCCGUAGGUGAACCUGCGGAAGGAUCAUUACAGAAUGAAAAGUGCUUAACUGCAUUUUUUCUUACACAUGUGUUUUUCUUUUUUUGAAAACUUUGCUUUGGUAGGCCUUCUAUAUGGGGCCUGCCAGAGAUUAAACUCAACCAAAUUUUAUUUAAUGUCAACCGAUUAUUUAAUAGUCAAAACUUUCAACAACGGAUCUCUUGGUUCUCGCAUCGAUGAAGAACGCAGCGAAAUGCGAUAAGUAAUAUGAAUUGCAGAUAUUCGUGAAUCAUCGAAUCUUUGAACGCACAUUGCGCCCUUUGGUAUUCCAAAGGGCAUGCCUGUUUGAGCGUCAUUUCUCCCUCAAACCCUCGGGUUUGGUGUUGAGCGAUACGCUGGGUUUGCUUGAAAGAAAGGCGGAGUAUAAACUAAUGGAUAGGUUUUUUCCACUCAUUGGUACAAACUCCAAAACUUCUUCCAAAUUCGACCUCAAAUCAGGUAGGACUACCCGCUGAACUUAAGCAUAUCAAAAGCCCGGAGGAA
This 549-nucleotide ribosomal RNA is filed under the name Lodderomyces parapsilosis. RNAcentral describes it as "eukaryotic LSU rRNA". The stretch from base 208 to 361 matches the Rfam family "5.8S ribosomal RNA". The record is from RNAcentral. Lineage: Eukaryota; Fungi; Ascomycota; Pichiomycetes; Serinales; Debaryomycetaceae.